AACGCUGGCGGCGUGCUUAAUACAUGCAAGUUGAACGCUUUUUCCUCCCGAGUGCUUGCACUCAAUGGAAAGAGGAGUGGCGGACGGGUGAGUAACACGUGGGUAACCUACCCAUCAGAGGGGGAUAACACUUGGAAACAGGUGCUAAUACCGCAUAACAGUUUAUGCCGCAUGGCAUAAGAGUGAAAGGCGCUUUCGGGUGUCGCUGAUGGAUGGACCCGCGGUGCAUUAGCUAGUUGGUGAGGUAACGGCUCACCAAGGCCACGAUGCAUAGCCGACCUGAGAGGGUGAUCGGCCACACUGGGACUGAGACACGGCCCAGACUCCUACGGGAGGCAGCAGUAGGGAAUCUUCGGCAAUGGACGAAAGUCUGACCGAGCAACGCCGCGUGAGUGAAGAAGGUUUUCGGAUCGUAAAACUCUGUUGUUAGAGAAGAACAAGGACGUUAGUAACUGAACGUCCCCUGACGGUAUCUAACCAGAAAGCCACGGCUAACUACGUGCCAGCAGCCGCGGUAAUACGUAGGUGGCAAGCGUUGUCCGGAUUUAUUGGGCGUAAAGCGAGCGCAGGCGGUUUCUUAAGUCUGAUGUGAAAGCCCCCGGCUCAACCGGGGAGGGUCAUUGGAAACUGGGAGACUUGAGUGCAGAAGAGGAGAGUGGAAUUCCAUGUGUAGCGGUGAAAUGCGUAGAUAUAUGGAGGAACACCAGUGGCGAAGGCGGCUCUCUGGUCUGUAACUGACGCUGAGGCUCGAAAGCGUGGGGAGCAAACAGGAGGAGAUACCCUGGUAGUCCACGCCGUAAACGAUGAGUGCAAGGUGUUGGAGGGUUUCCGCCCUUCAGUGCUGCA
This 846-nucleotide ribosomal RNA is filed under the name Enterococcus faecalis. Its description in RNAcentral is "bacterial SSU rRNA". It matches the Rfam family "Bacterial small subunit ribosomal RNA", at positions 32 to 850 of the family's 1533-position model. Lineage: Bacteria; Bacillati; Bacillota; Bacilli; Lactobacillales; Enterococcaceae. The record is from RNAcentral.